UGCGUAGGUGGUGAGGUAAGUCGGAUGUGAAAGCUCCGAGCUCAACUCGGAAAUGGCAUUGGAAACUACCUUGCUCGAGGGUUUGAGGGGGGACUGGAAUACUUGGUGUAGCAGUGAAAUGCGUAGAUAUCAAGUAGAACACCAGUGGCGAAGGCGAGUCCCUGGAAAACUCCUGACACUGAGGCACGAAAGCUGGGAGCAAACA
This 205-nucleotide ribosomal RNA is filed under the name uncultured bacterium. Its description in RNAcentral is "partial 16S ribosomal RNA". It matches the Rfam family "Bacterial small subunit ribosomal RNA", at positions 568 to 774 of the family's 1533-position model. The record is from RNAcentral.